This 403-nucleotide ribosomal RNA is filed under the name uncultured bacterium. RNAcentral describes it as "partial 16S ribosomal RNA". It matches the Rfam family "Bacterial small subunit ribosomal RNA", at positions 29 to 526 of the family's 1533-position model. The record is from RNAcentral.
AUUGAACGCUGGCGGCAGGCCUAACACAUGCAAGUCGAGCGAGCGGCGGACGGGUGAGUAAUGUAUGGGGACUGCCCGAUAGAGGGGGAUAACUUCUGGAAACGGUAGCUAAUACCGCAUACUAUCGGAUAACCCAUAUGGGAUUAGCUAGUUGGGGAGGUAAUGGCUCACCAAGGCGACGAUCCCUAGCUGGUAUGAGAGGAUGAUCAGGCACACUGGGACUGAGACACGGCCCAGACGCAGACGGAGGCAGCAGGGGGGAAUAUUGCACAAUGGGCGCAAGCCUGAGGCAGCCAUGCCGCGUGUAUGAAGAAGGCCCUAGGGGUGUAAAGUACUUUCAGUCGGGAGGCGUUACCCGCAGAAGAAGCGCCGGCUAACUACGUGCCAGCCGGCGCGGUAAUAC